RNAcentral lists this ribosomal RNA (822 nucleotides) under uncultured crenarchaeote. Its description in RNAcentral is "bacterial SSU rRNA". It matches the Rfam family "Archaeal small subunit ribosomal RNA", at positions 8 to 804 of the family's 1478-position model. The record is from RNAcentral. Lineage: Archaea; Thermoproteati; Thermoproteota.
UUGAUCCUGCCGGACCCUACUGCUAUCGGGGUGAGACUAAGCCAUGCAAGUUGUGCGCUCCUUAGCCAUGUUUGGAGAGCAGCAAACGGCUCAGUAACACGUAGUCAAUCUGCCCUUAGGACGAGGAUAACCCUGGGAAACUGGGGCUAAUAAUCGAUAGAUGGAAGCGCCUGGAAUGGUCUUCCGUUGAAAAGUUUUCGGGAACAUGCUUCCGAAAGCGCCUAAGGAUGAGACUGCGGCCUAUCAGGCUGUUGGUGGGGUAACGGCCCACCAAACCUAUAACAGGUACGGGCCCUGAAAGGGGGAGCCCGGAGAUGGGAACUGAGACAAGGUCCCAGGCCCUACGGGGCGCAGCAGGCGCGAAAACUCCGCAAUGCGCGAAAGCGUGACGGGGUUAACCCGAGUGCUGUCCGUUGAGGAUAGCUUUUCUCCAGUGUAAGGAUCUGAAGGAAUAAAGGGGGGGCAAGUCUGGUGUCAGCCGCCGCGGUAAUACCAGCCCCCUGAGUGAUAGGGACGAUUAUUUAGCCUAAAGCGUCCGUAGCCGGCUUAGAAAGUCUUUCGUCAAAUCUGACGACUUAAUCGCUAGAGUGCGGAAGAUACUACUAGGCUUGAGGGCGGGAGAGGUUGACGGUAGUCCAGGAGUAGGGGUGAAAUCUUAUAAUCCCUGGAGGACCACCAGUGGCGAAGGCGGUCGACUGGAACGCGCCUGACGGUGAUGGACGAAAGCUGGGGGUGGCGAACCGGAUUAGACACCCCGGGUAGUCCCAGCUGUAAACGAUGCGGGCUAGGUGUUGGGGCAGCUACUUGCUGCUCCAGUGCCGC